AAGUCGUAACAAGGUUUCCGUAGGUGAACCUGCGGAAGGAUCAUUAAUGAAAUAACUAUGGCGUUGGUUGUAGCUGGCUCCUAGGAGCAUGUGCACACUCGUCAUUCUUAUCUUUCCACCUGUGCACUUAAUGUAGGUCUGGAUAACUCUCGCUCAUACCGAGCGGAUGCAGGGAUUGCCGUGUCGAAAGACCGGCUCUCUUUGAAUUUCCAGGUCUAUGUACCUUUACAAACUCCAAUUGUAUGAUAAUGAAUGUAGUCAAUGGGCUUUCAAGCCUAUAAAUCAAAAUACAACUUUCAGCAACGGAUCUCUUGGCUCUC
RNAcentral lists this unclassified non-coding RNA (320 nucleotides) under Psathyrella piluliformis. Its description in RNAcentral is "partial internal transcribed spacer region". The stretch from base 1 to 46 matches the Rfam family "Eukaryotic small subunit ribosomal RNA", at positions 1786 to 1831 of the family's 1831-position model. The record is from RNAcentral. Lineage: Eukaryota; Fungi; Basidiomycota; Agaricomycetes; Agaricales; Psathyrellaceae.